CUACGGGAGGCAGCAGUGGGGAAUAUUGCACAAUGGGCGCAAGCCUGAUGCAGCCAUGCCGCGUGUAUGAAGAAGGCCUUAGGGUUGUAAAGUACUUUCAGCGGGGAGGAAGGUGAUAAGGUUAAUACCCUUAUCAAUUGACGUUACCCGCAGAAGAAGCACCGGCUAACUCCGUGCCAGCAGCCGCGGUAAU
Molecule: ribosomal RNA, 193 nt
Filed under: Proteus mirabilis
Lineage: Bacteria; Pseudomonadati; Pseudomonadota; Gammaproteobacteria; Enterobacterales; Morganellaceae
Description: partial 16S ribosomal RNA
Rfam family: Bacterial small subunit ribosomal RNA
Source: RNAcentral